AAAAAAAAACCCAGCCACCCCGAAUCAGACUCAGCCCACUCCCGUGCGUGCUGGAUAGGGUUCCCCGCCACCCUCACCGGUCGCCGUCGCCGCCCUCACCGGUCGCCGCCGCCGUCGGUUUCCCCUACAUGGCCGGAGGAUAGGCCAUCCCGCCGGUCCAUUCCCGCCCCACCGUGAGGGAGAAGACCGACCAGUUGCGCCUCCCCGCCGGUCGCCGCCCGCCACCCUAAGGAUCAAGGCCGGCCGCGCCGGUCCCCGUCGGUCGCUGCUCCGGAUCCAGGCCGCCCACCGCCCCGCCCCCAUCAGCCCGGUCUAUUUCCCACCGGAUCCCAUCUUCGCCGCUGUCCGACGCGCCUUCUUCAAGGAGCUGCGACCCCAUGUCUCAGAGGAGCUAGCCCCGACGCCAUUGAUGCCCGAGCGACGCUCCCAAGCUAUGACGUACCCCGCCGCCAGGAGGCCAGGAGGCCUCCAUGGAGGCCCGUCCCGAGCUCGCCUCGCUGCUCCUCCGGUGACCCUCGCGAGCGGCGCGACCGGAUGGGGCACGAACCCUAGCGGCGCGGUCGGAUGGGUAACGGACCCUAGCGGCGCGGCCGGAUGGGGCACGGGCGCCAGCGGUGGAGCCGGUUGGGGUGCGGCGGCCAACAGGCAUGAGAUUCAAUCGUGAACGAUGAUUAAUCGGGUCAUUAAUGCCAAUCGAUGCUCCGGGAAGCUGGUCCUUUCCUACUCUGCUCAGUUUCGCAAACCACAGUCCAAAAGCAAGGUGAUGGGUGUUGCUUAGGUUCCAGCUCUGUUUGGUUUAAGAUUCUCUCCAGGUUGGAAUUCUAGCGACGUACUGCUUGGUAUCUUUGGUUCUUCCAGUUGAUCCAACGGCUAAUGGACAACCCAGACUGGCCGCUGCUCCUUUCCCAAUCUCCUCACUCUUGCAAACCAAUCUCCAGCAGCGAUGGGUGAUGUUCAGGUGUUCUGUUGGAUUAGAAAGUUUAGGAAUUAACCAUUUGGAAGAUUCUAAUGCUUGGAUGCUCGAUACAAGGUCGAAUUCAAGCUAUGUACUGCUGGUUUCCUUUCUUUCCUCCACGGCGACCUGAUACGGCCCAUACGGGCUGCAAGGAGGCUCCAGAGUUACCACUACCAUUGGUCCUCCCUGCCAUUUGCUGAAUUAUGCUUCAUCGCAUAUUAGCCAGAAUUCGUGGCUGUUGUUCUAUAAUCGUAAUCGAUCAAGCCACUUCCCAGUGCUUAUGUAAUCUUUGUACUGGUAGGAACUAGGAAUUUGGAAAAACAAAUCAGUACUACUAAUUUACCGUGGAGCCGUGACAACAUCGUGCUUUGUUUAUUCACUUUUAAAAGUUAAACUUAAACUGGCAAAGUGGUUACUGUUUUAUUUCAUCCCUGUUAGUCAAAGCUCAUGUAAUGUGACUUGCCAAGUUUCUGUUGAAUGUAUUGUUUAAAAAGAAAGAUCCGAAGGACUGAUUAUUUGGCAUCAAAUUAAGUACUGUCCUGCAUGAACUUUGUCAUGUUUACCCUCUUCUAUAUUUUUUAUAUGCUUUACCAACUAUAUCUCCUGAUGUUAUAAGUAUUACCUUUGUAGGCUGAUACUAUUACAGUGAAGACAUAGAACAUGAAUUAUAGAAGUUAUUGAGCAAGGAGUGAGGCAGAUUUUGCAGAAAGAAACACCUAACAUCCAACAGCUGACAGCAUCAUAAGCAUUGUUUCCCCUUACCAAUAACGGUGCCAUGUAAAGGGACUAGCUACACCUACUGAUUAAUAAUACAAAGAUUAAGAUUCCCUGGGAGUUGGGAUUGCAUCUUUAUUUUGCGGCCACUUCAGUUCUUUGCUUUGAUAUGGCAGGAUUGGUCAUCUGAUAACCCUAAAAGGACAAUGCUGCAAGGAGAAACAUCAGUAUGAGCUGCAAGGACAAGAUGCCCACCCAGCCUGUGCUGGCAGCAACCUGACUUCGUUGUCAACAACUUGAUGAGGACCAAAUCGACUUCAGAUUAUUUCUAGAAGAUGCUAUAUACAAAUCCUUUCUCUGCAAUUUUUUGCCUCACACAACUUUCACCCUUUUCAAGCCAACGCCGUCGGCCAGUACAACCACUUCCUCCUCCUUCAUUUAUCUCUCUCUUGCUGACUGCCUUCCUGCUUCCUUCAGGCAGAUUCAUGAUGCACACAUGAGCAAAGUCAAAUUUAAUCGCACCCAGAAGAUGGCGGCAAGCACAUUUGGCUGCCGGGACAAGAAAUAGUUUAUCCGUCACUGCCAUUUGCAUUAUCCAUGCCUGUUGAUGUGGUUGAUACUUACAGCAAGUACUCGCUCAUCCUCUCACUGAAUCUAUAGUUUUAUCUUCCUAGCUGUUUAUGGCUGAAACUGGGGAUUACGUAUUACAAGCUCGCAGUUAUGUACUGCUGGAGAAGGAAAAAUUAGUCAGUGGCUGCUGUUGAUGCUCAUGCCCUUUUGCCGGAAAUAGUAACAACAACAGCAGUCACCUUGGGUAAUUUCUCUUACCCAAUAUAUUUACAGUUGUCUCUCUAAGCUAUUUAUGUGUCAAAUUCAGGACGAGGCAAGGUAGACCUCAGAACUAUGUAUGACGUUUCUUUACUGAUGCAGUUUAUGGCUGAAACUGGGGAUUACGUAUUACAAGCGUGCCUCACAGUUAUGUACUGCUGGAGAAGGAAUAAUUAGUCAGUGGCUGCUGUUGAUGGUCAUGCCCUUUUGCCGGAAAUAGUAACAACAGCAACAGUCACCUUGGUAAUUUCUCCUACCCAAUAUAUUUACAAUUGUCUCUCUAAGCUAUUUAUGGGUCAAAUUCAGGACGAGGCAAGGCAGCCUCAGAACUAUGUAUGACGUUUCUUUACUGAUGGUGUGUUGGAAUCUUUUUUAUGAAUGAACUAGAUUUCUAUGCAGCAAAAACUAUAAUAUACUGAAUCCACCAAUGAGAGUAACUACAACACGUGUUACUGGACUUCCCCUAUUAGUAAAUCCGUUUGCAUGUUAUAAUUUAUAGACUGGACUUGCUGUUGUGAGGAGUUCACACAUCCAUUGGAAUAGUUUUCCCGCUAGAGAGUCCUUGCCAAAUCUGCAUCAGAAGAUUGGAUGUUUGUUUUUUCUGCCAUGCCUAUUUUCUUGCUAUAUAUCUCAUGCGUCUUUCUAUCUAUCUUUACAAGAUUCUGAAUAUCUGCUUUUAAAAUUUGUAUCAUUUGCUGCAAACACUUUAAUUCUUCUUUCCCAUUUUGUAGAUUUGCUUCAGAUCACGGAAGCUUGGGUUGAUGGAGUGCUUGUCUUUAGUUUUUGUUUUGACUUUGUGAAACUUGCUACCUAUGAUGAAACUGUGUAAUAUUGAUGAAACUAUGUAUAUGUAUGGAUGAAACUUGCUACUAUUGGUAACAUGUGUUGGAUAUGUGUUCGAUAUAUAUGUGUUCAUGACUAUUGGUAAUAUGUGUUGAAUAUGCUAUAUUGGUCA
Triticum aestivum (bread wheat) is the source of this 3452-nucleotide long non-coding RNA. RefSeq lists it as uncharacterized. The transcript has 10 exons. The record is from RefSeq and is a predicted model, not a curated record. Lineage: Eukaryota; Viridiplantae; Streptophyta; Magnoliopsida; Poales; Poaceae.